GAGCUUGGCGGUGUUUUAGACCUCUCAGGGGAACCUGUCUCAUAAUCGAUAAUCCACGUUAAACCUGACCUUUGAUAGCAAUUCAGCUUGUAUACCGUUGUCGUCAGGUAACUUCUUAAAAUAUAGUAGUUAGCUUGAGAAUUUUAUUAAUUAAAACGUCAAAUCAAGGUGCAGCUAAUAAAAAGGUGAAGAUGGGUUACAAUUACAUAUUUGUAAAUACGGAAAACAUUUGAAAGAAUGUUUUAAAGGAGGACUUGAAAGUAAUUUUGAUUAUAUAAACAAAAUGAAUGAGGCUCUGAAGCGUGCACACAUCGCCCGUCGCUCUCGUUGAAAAAUGAGAUAAGUCGUAACAUAGUAGGGGUAAUGGAAAUUGUUCCUAGAU
Molecule: ribosomal RNA, 382 nt
Filed under: Conus grahami grahami
Lineage: Eukaryota; Metazoa; Mollusca; Gastropoda; Neogastropoda; Conidae
Description: partial 12S ribosomal RNA
Rfam family: Microsporidia small subunit ribosomal RNA
Source: RNAcentral